CCUACGGGAGGCAGCAGUGGGGAAUAUUGCGCAAUGGGCGAAAGCCUGACGCAGCGACGCCGCGUGAGCGAUGAAGUAUUUCGGUAUGUAAAGCUCUAUCAGCAGGGAAGAAAAUGACGGUACCUGACUAAGAAGCCCCGGCUAACUACGUGCCAGCAGCCGCGGUAAUACGUAGGGGGCAAGCGUUAUCCGGAUUUACUGGGCGUAAAGGGAGCGUAGACGGGGAUGCAAGCCAGAUGUGAAAGCCCGGGGCUCAACCCCGGGACUGCAUUUGGAACUGUGUGGCUGGAGUGUCGGAGAGGCAGGCGGAAUUCCUGGUGUAGCGGUGAAAUGCGUAGAUAUUAGGAGGAACACCAGUGGCGAAGGCGGCCUACUGGACGAUGACUGACGUUGAGGCUCGAAAGCGUGGGGAGCAAACAGGAUUAGAUACCCCUGUAGUC
This 440-nucleotide ribosomal RNA is filed under the name uncultured bacterium. RNAcentral describes it as "partial 16S ribosomal RNA". It matches the Rfam family "Bacterial small subunit ribosomal RNA", at positions 338 to 795 of the family's 1533-position model. The record is from RNAcentral.